UACGGAGGGAGCUAGCGUUGUUCGGAAUUACUGGGCGUAAAGCGCACGUAGGCGGCUUUGUAAGUUAGAGGUGAAAGCCUGGAGCUCAACUCCAGAAUUGCCUUUAAGACUGCAUCGCUUGAAUCCAGGAGAGGUGAGUGGAAUUCCGAGUGUAGAGGUGAAAUUCGUAGAUAUUCGGAAGAACACCAGUGGCGAAGGCGGCUCACUGGACUGGUAUUGACGCUGAAGUGCGAAAGUGUGGGGAGCAAACAGGAUUAGAUACCCUGGUAGUCCACGCCGUAAACGAUGAUAACUAGCUGUCAGGGUUCUUAGAACUUUGGUGGCGCAGCUAACGCAUUAAGUUAUCCGCCUGGGGAGUACGGCCGCAAGGUUAAAACUCAAAGGAAUUGACGGGGGCCUGCACAAGCGGUGGAGCAUGUGGUUUAAUUCGAAGCAACGCGCAGAACCUUACCAGCGUUUGACAUGCCCGGACAGUUUCCAGAGAUGGAUGCCUUGCCUUCGGGGACUGGGACACAGGUGCUGC
RNAcentral lists this ribosomal RNA (523 nucleotides) under uncultured Sphingomonas sp. RNAcentral's name for it is "bacterial SSU rRNA". It matches the Rfam family "Bacterial small subunit ribosomal RNA", at positions 524 to 1044 of the family's 1533-position model. The record is from RNAcentral. Lineage: Bacteria; Pseudomonadati; Pseudomonadota; Alphaproteobacteria; Sphingomonadales; Sphingomonadaceae.